AACCAAGAAGUCACCAUUAUUACAUCCUUCUUCUGAAACUUAUCUAACCACCAAAAAAAAAAAAAAAAAGUCCUCUUUAGAUUGAGGUUACAAAUUAGAAUGCUAAAUUGGGCAAGUCUCUUCCUUACCUAUUCUGUAAGGUAGGCUGCCUGUUGAAAGCCGAAAAUAAUGCAUUCCUAUGCAUAUGUAAUUGUACAGAUAAUUGCCUCUAUCAUUUAAAAAUAUCAUUUGCCAAAAUGGUGCCUAUGAUUAAUUAUGUACAUUUAUCACUGAGUCGACUGGGUACAUUAUAAAAUCCUUUCCCUAAGCUCAUACAUUUUUCCUCUCUUCUUAUUUCUUUCAAUGUAAGUUAUUUUGUAAUUCAAAAAUUUUUUGUUAUUCCUUAAGCCAUAAUUCAUCUGCAGGGAAGGAGAAACUAUUUGCCCUCUGGCUGCAGAGGGGUUGCUUUUUGACUUUUGACAUCAAGGAGCAAGGGUAACAAUGUUUUAAAUCUCCCCUCUUGUGUCUUGCUUCUAAAACACAAAUCCUGGAGAGGGAUCAUUUAUUGAUAUGCAAGUAUCUCUAUUACCAUUUCCUCAGCCCCAAACUGUACAUUGUUGGUCUUCAAUGUCAAAUGAUACCAAGGAAAGAAAAAAAGUUGAUUAAAAAUAUAAAAUAUAUGGUAAUCUUGAAAUUCUGACACAUAGAACUUAAUUUAAUGUGAAUAUCAUGUAGUUAAUGAUAAUAGCAACUAACCAAGAACAGAUUUUGCUUUAACAUAAGGCCUCCUUAUUGUCUCCCAGCUUCUCUGCUCUGCCCUGGAUUCUCAGAACAUCCAGAUUUAUCCUCUGAAACCUAAGUCUGACCCUCAGCUAUGAAUCCUCUACUCUUUUCCCAUCUCACUCAAAAAGUCACAAUCUUUCCCAAGGCCUGUGAUGCCUGAAAGAUCUGCCCCUGUGACUCCCUCCUAAGACUUAAUCUCCUUCUGCUGAUCCCUUCACUUACUCCCCCACCCAAGGUGGCCUCUUGCUCUUUCUCUAAUACUCUCGGCACUCUCCCUACUCAGAGCCCCUGUGCUUGCUGUUCCCUCUGCCUAGGCUGCUGUUCCCUGUAUUCAUGUGGCUCUUCCCUUACCUUCCUAACGUGUCUCCUCAACUGUCACCUUUCUCAGCAAGGUGCUCCCUGACCUUUCUAAGAUUGCCAUCAUAUCUCUAGCCAGAAACUGCCUCCUCCCAUUCCCUGCAUUAUCUUUUUCCUUGGCAUGUAUCACUGUUCAAUGUACCUUAUAUUUUACCUAUUAAUCUUGUUUAUUAAUUUCUCCCUCCACUAGAAAGGAAACUCCAUAGGGCAGGGAUUUUAAUCUAUUUGGUUCACUGAUGAAUUUUCACCUUUUAGAACAGUACCUGCCACAUAGUAGAUGCUCAGCAAGUGUUUGCGGAUUGAACAGAUACUUGUGUAUUGUAUUUUUGUUAUAUCUCUCUUCCCCAGCAUAGGCAAAAUGGUUGCUGGCCAAACCUAUAUCUACAUAACUCAAAAUCCCAACAAAAGAGAAGCCCUCUUAAUCCUGCCUUCAUUCACAAAUCUCAGUGAAUCCUUGACUGACCCUGUAGUGGUGAUGGGGUGUGGUGGUGUGGCAGCAUGCUCUGUCAUGGCAAUGGACAGCUUCAGCGGGAUCAGGACGAGAGAAGGAGAGGUUCUCUGAAGAAAGGAUCUUAGACAGGCAGGCAGCAUUAGUAAACUAUAAGACCCAACAAUUUUAUGGUAAAUGGCUUUCUUUUUUGUUGUUGUUGUUGUUGUUGUUGUUGCUAUUUCUUGGUAAAUGACUUUCUUAAUUGUUACUUGACAGACUGUAAUAUAAACUCUGUGAAGUCAGUGGCCGGCUGCUUUGCUUACCACUAAAUCUUAAAGGCAUAGCACAUAUUAGACACUCACUAAAUGUAAGAAUGAAUGAAUAAGUGAAUGGCAAGUAACAUGGGAGGCAAGUCAUUAAGUUUGGCGGCCUCAGAACAAAGGAGAAUGUCAUGUGAGUUAAAUAUUUAUGGUAUGUGCUGAGACCAUUGGGUGGAGCUCAUUAUGAUUUGGAUAUACCUGUCAACCUGACCAGGCACCCACCCCAGGACUGCUACUCAGGAAUUAGAACUGUGAAUUUCCCUCCAUGCAUUUUCUUUGCUUCCUAUCUGAAUGGCUUCCUUUGAGGUUGCUGCCAUCCUUCUUUAGAAAUGGAGAGACUCUCUGUUAGGUCUGGGUCUAUGUCGCAAGUCCUUCCUUAAGACUAGUUUUGUACAACUCUGCUGGGGUUCAUUGUGCAGAACUUCUCUGCUUAAAACUUCCAAGGGAAAUCCUUCCUUUCCAAGUCUUUGAGAGGCACUUAACUGUCCCUCCCUCUUAUCCCUGCUGCCUUUUGUAUAACCCUGAGAUCUGGUUCCUCACAGGAAAACACAAGGGAAAACACCAUGAAACGUACUCUGAAGUACUGACAAAACAACACUGAGUUUGUGGAUUAGCCUCCUUCCCUAGAUGGCACAUAUUAGAAACUUGAGCUAGUAAACAGACUUAGGGGAUUGCACAUAAGGGACCUUGACAAAACCCUUCUCCCAUUUUAGAACUUUAUAGGAAGAGAAAGCUUCAUAUAUAAAAUUUCAUUUUAUAUCAUGCUUCCUGUACCUCCCCUGUCCUGCCAUGGCUGUCAGCCAAGGGCAGAAGUGUUAUCAUUUGCGGGUGACAGCAAGAUGAUCCUCACAGGGUCACUAUGUGUUCUAUAUUGUGGCAGACCCUUCUGCUGAAAUAUGGAGGUGCCGUGAUGUUCAAUCAAUGCAAUGCAUGAUGUGGAGAUUUGAGAUGAAGCUAAAUGUAGCUUCUUUUGAUUUUACUUUUUCAUUUUUUUCCUGGCUGAAAACUCUGUAGAAGAAAAACUGCCUCUGGAUAAAUCAUCUUUUCAGCUUUGCUAGUGUAGUCAAAUGAUGUUAUCCUGAGAGGAUCAAAAGGGCCUGGAUGUUAAUUGUGUUCAUUUAUGGUUCCAUAUAAAGUUUUUGUUUUUGUUUUGUUUUGUUUUAAAUGGAAGUUCCCAGGCUAGGGGUCGAAUCAGAACUACAGUUGCCAGCCUAUGCCACAGCCACAGCAACACAGAAUCCAAGCUGCGUCUGUGACCUACACCACAGCUCACAGCAAUGCCGAAUCUCCAAACCACUGAGCAAGGCCAGGGAUCGAAGCCACAUCCUCAAGGAUUCUAGUCGGAUUCAUUUCCCCUGUGCCACAAAGGGAACUCCCAU
Molecule: long non-coding RNA, 3248 nt
Filed under: Sus scrofa (pig)
Lineage: Eukaryota; Metazoa; Chordata; Mammalia; Artiodactyla; Suidae
Description: lncRNA (ENSSSCG00000052734.1)
Source: RNAcentral